Trifolium pratense (red clover) is the source of this 404-nucleotide long non-coding RNA. RefSeq lists it as uncharacterized. Lineage: Eukaryota; Viridiplantae; Streptophyta; Magnoliopsida; Fabales; Fabaceae. The transcript is spliced from 3 exons. The record is from RefSeq and is a predicted model, not a curated record.
AAUUUGUUGAUGAAACUGAUAUUGCUAGUACAUCUCAAAGAAGGAAAAGGGGGACUAAUAGAGGUGUGACUAAUAUUCCAAGUUUUGAGGUUACACUGACACGAACUUAUGCAAAAGGCUAUUUGUUUAGGAUUCCAUGUGAUUUUUCAAGAAGAUACAUGGAAGGUUUUGAAGGGAUUGCAAGGAUAAGAAUGGUUGGUGAGGAUCGGACAUGGAAGGUGGGGGUGAAGUAUGAUCGGGAACGUGAUUAUUCCGUUGUGAAAAGUGGUUGGAAGCCAUUUUCCAAGGAAUAUAACUUGCAAAUUGGUGAUGUUUGUAUGUUUAAGAUGACUCGAUCCGAACCACUUUUUUUUACUAUUACUACUAUUAAGCGAGCCUCAGAGCAACGAAGUCGUAAGAAGUAG